GGAUGUGAGGGCGAUCUGGCUGCAACAUCUGUCAGUCACCCCAUUGAUCGCCAGGGUUGAUCAGGCUGAUCUGGCUGGCUAGGCAGGUGUCCCCCUCCUCCCUCACCACCCAUGUGUGUCCCUCCCCAAGCUGCACGCUUGGUCGAAGAGGAUGACCUUCCCCUCAGAGGAGAGGACCGGUCUUCAGUCAAGAGUAUAGUUGUAGCUGCGCUCCCCUGCUAGAACCUCCAGACAACUCUCAAUUAAUAGCCUGAUCACCUAGAACUCAUGAAGGUUUGGUUUAAAACUUUUGUAAAGAACAGAUCUGUGGAAAGCCUAAGUUUCU
Molecule: unclassified non-coding RNA, 325 nt
Organism: Myotis lucifugus (little brown bat)
Lineage: Eukaryota; Metazoa; Chordata; Mammalia; Chiroptera; Vespertilionidae
Gene: 7SK
Rfam family: 7SK RNA
About the family: 7SK was discovered as an abundant small nuclear RNA in the mid-70s but a possible function has only recently been suggested. Two independent studies have found that 7SK RNA binds the CDK9/cyclin T complex (known as elongation factor P-TEFb).
Source: Ensembl